AUAGAACGCUGGCGGCAGGCCUAACAAAUGCAAGUCGAACGAGUGGCGGACGUGUUAGUAAUGUCUGGGAAACUGCCUGAUGGAGGGGGAUAACUACUGGAAACGGUAGCUAAUACCGCAUACCCUCAGAUGUGCCCAGAUGGGAUUAGCUAGUUGGUGGGGUAACGGCUCACCAAGGCGACGAUCCCUAGCUGGUCUGAGAGGAUGACCGGACACACUGGAAAUGAGACAAGGUCAAGAAUCCUACGGGAGGGAGCAGUGGGGAAUAUUGAACAAUGGGCGCAAGCCUGAUGAAGCCAUGCCGGGUGUAUGAAGAGGGACUUCGGGUUGUAAAGUACUUUCAGCGGGGAGGCGUUACCCGCAGAAGAAGCACCGGCUAACUCCGUGCCAGCAGCCGCGGUAAUAC
RNAcentral lists this ribosomal RNA (406 nucleotides) under uncultured bacterium. RNAcentral describes it as "partial 16S ribosomal RNA". It matches the Rfam family "Bacterial small subunit ribosomal RNA", at positions 31 to 526 of the family's 1533-position model. The record is from RNAcentral.